UGGGGAAUAUUGGACAACGGGGGGAACCCUGAUCCAGCCAUGCCGCGUGUGUGAAGAAGGCCUUAUGGUUGUAAAGCACUUUAAGCGAGGAGGAGGGUACUGGUAUUAAUACUACCAGGUACUGGACGUUACUCGCAGAAUAAGCACCGGCUAACUCUGUGCCAGCAGCCGCGGUAAUACAGAGGGUGCGAGCGUUAAUCGGAUUUACUGGGCGUAAAGCGUGCGUAGGCGGCUAAUUGAGUCGGAUGUGAAAUCCCCGAGCUUAACUUGGGAAUUGCAUUCGAUACUGGUUAGCUAGAGUGUGGGAGAGGAUGGUAGAAUUCCAGGUGUAGCGGUGAAAUGCGUAGAGAUCUGGAGGAAUACCGAUGGCGAAGGCAGCCAUCUGGCCUAACACUGACGCUGAGGUACGAAAGCAUGGGGAGCAAACAGG
Molecule: ribosomal RNA, 430 nt
Filed under: Pseudomonadota bacterium
Lineage: Bacteria; Pseudomonadati; Pseudomonadota
Description: Proteobacteria bacterium partial 16S ribosomal RNA
Rfam family: Bacterial small subunit ribosomal RNA
Source: RNAcentral